CUUAAAGGUCAAAUACAGGCAGUGACUCCUGCACAGUUGACUCCCGUCACAUUGUCUUGACAGUGUCCUGGAAAAGACAGUGUCCUGGAAAAUAUUGUGUCCUGGAAAAAUACUGUUUUGGGGCGAUGGGGAGGAGAUGGGGGGUGUAGCAGAUGAGGGGGAGAUGAGGUGGACAGUGAGAGGACCAGAGGUGGUGUGAGAGAGAUGAGAUGAGGGGGACAGUGAGAGGACCAGAGGUGGUGUGAGAGAGAUGAGAUGAGAUGAGGGGGACAGUGAGAGGACCAGAGGUGGUGUGAGAGAGAUGAGAUGAGAUGAGGGGGACAGUGAGAGGACCAGAGGUGGUGUGAGAGAGAUGAGAUGAGGGGGACAGUGAGAGGACCAGAGGUGGUGUGAGAGAGAGGGAGAUGAGAUGAGGAGGGCAGUGAGAUGAUCAGAGGUGGUGUGAGAGAGAUGAGAUGAGGGGGACAGUGAGAGGACCAGAGGUGGUGUGAGAGAGAUAGAGAUGAGAUGAGAUGAGAUGAGGGGGACAGUGAGAGGACCAGAGGUGGUGUGAGAGAGAGGGAGAUGAGAUGAGAUGAGGGGGACAGUGAGAGGACCAGAGGUGGUGUGAGAGAGAUGAGAUGA
RNAcentral lists this long non-coding RNA (624 nucleotides) under Salmo salar (Atlantic salmon). RNAcentral describes it as "lncRNA (ENSSSAG00000088345.1)". Lineage: Eukaryota; Metazoa; Chordata; Actinopteri; Salmoniformes; Salmonidae. The record is from RNAcentral.